Podarcis lilfordi (Lilford's wall lizard) is the source of this 72-nucleotide non-coding RNA. NCBI's taxonomy places the organism in Eukaryota, Metazoa, Chordata, Lepidosauria, Squamata, Lacertidae. The record is from the annotation of a GenBank genome assembly.
AGAGUUGCAGCUCAGUGACAGAGCCUCCGCCUUGCAUGCACAAGGUCCCAGGUUCAAUCCCCAGCAUCUCCA